RNAcentral lists this long non-coding RNA (377 nucleotides) under Androctonus crassicauda. The record is from RNAcentral. Lineage: Eukaryota; Metazoa; Arthropoda; Arachnida; Scorpiones; Buthidae.
AAAAUAAUGAACUAGGAAAAAUCAUGACAACUAUUCUUAAUAAGGAAUAUGAUCACUUCAGACUGCAAUGCAGAUCUCACAAUGCUUCUCAUACAAACCACAAGGUUGUCAAAAGAUUUUUGAGGAUAUUAAUGACCAUUUGUGCAAAAGAAAAGUUUUAAGCUCAACUAGGCUUCUGAGAAGAGAAAUGAGAGCAGCAUUCCAUCUUCCAAGAGCAUUUUAUGCAUGUACAGUCAGCCUUAAAAUCAGAAAUAGGCUGGCCAAUUCAUUCAAUCAGUUCUUUGUUUUGUUUUUCAGGAUAUUGAUCCACAAGAUGAUAUCUAUAUGAGCAGAUUUUAUCAUCCAUCAAUAUGAAUCCUAGACCCACUAUUUCUUAA